CAACACGGGGAGGUAGUGACAAGAAAUAACAAUACGGGGUCUUUAUAGGUCUCGCAAUUGGAAUGAGUACAAUCUAAAUCCCUUAACGAGUAUCCAUUGGAGGGCAAGUCUGGUGCCAGCAGCCGCGGUAAUUCCAGCUCCAAUAGCGUAUAUUUAAGUUGUUGCAGUUAAAAAGCUCGUAGUUGGAUUUCGGGUGGGUUGUAGCGGUCAGCCUUUGGUUAGUACUGCUACGGCCUACCUUUCUGCCGGGGACGAGCUCCUGGGCUUAACUGUCCGGGACUCGGAAUCGGCGAGGUUACUUUGAGUAAAUUAGAGUGUUCAAAGCAAGCCUACGCUCUGAAUACAUUAGCAUGGAAUAACACGAUAGGACUCUGGCUUAUCUUGUUGGUCUGUAAGACCGGAGUAAUGAUUAAGAGGGACAGUCGGGGGCAUUCGUAUUUCAUUGUCAGAGGUGAAAUUCUUGGAUUUAUGAAAGACGAACUUCUGCGAAAGCAUUUGCCAAGGAUGUUUUCAUUAAUCAAGAACGAAAGUUGGGGGCUCGAAGACGAUUGGAUACCGUCGUAGUCUCAACCAUAAACGAUGCCGACUAGGGAUUGGCAGGUGUUUCGUUGAUGACCCUGCCAGCACCUUAUGAGAAAUCAAAGUUUUUGGGUUCCGGGGGGAGUAUGGUCGCAAGGCUGAAACUUAAAGGAAUUGACGGAAGGGCACCACCAGGCGUGGAGCCUG
RNAcentral lists this ribosomal RNA (726 nucleotides) under uncultured marine eukaryote. RNAcentral's name for it is "SSU rRNA". It matches the Rfam family "Eukaryotic small subunit ribosomal RNA", at positions 452 to 1185 of the family's 1831-position model. The record is from RNAcentral.